This 70-nucleotide transfer RNA is filed under the name Camelus bactrianus (Bactrian camel). It matches the Rfam family "tRNA". Rfam says of the family: Transfer RNA (tRNA) molecules are approximately 80 nucleotides in length. Their secondary structure includes four short double-helical elements and three loops (D, anti-codon, and T loops). RNAcentral also lists the same sequence under 2 other names. Lineage: Eukaryota; Metazoa; Chordata; Mammalia; Artiodactyla; Camelidae. The record is from Rfam by way of RNAcentral.
GGAAAUAGCUCAGUGACAGAGCACAUGCUUAGCACUCACGUGGUCCUGGGUUCAAUCCCCAGUACCUCCA